UUCGGAGGGGGCUAGCGUUGUUCGGAAUUACUGGGCGUAAAGCGCACGUAGGCGGCUUUGUAAGUUAGAGGUGAAAGCCCAGGGCUCAACCCUGGAAUUGCCUUUAAGACUGCAUCGCUUGAACAUCGGAGAGGUAAGUGGAAUUCCGAGUGUAGAGGUGAAAUUCGUAGAUAUUCGGAAGAACACCAGUGGCGAAGGCGACUUACUGGACGAUUGUUGACGCUGAGGUGCGAAAGCGUGGGGAGCAAACAGG
Molecule: ribosomal RNA, 253 nt
Filed under: uncultured bacterium
Lineage: Bacteria
Description: partial 16S ribosomal RNA
Rfam family: Bacterial small subunit ribosomal RNA
Source: RNAcentral